UGACAAAGCAACACUAUUAACCGAACUUUGCUCAGAAUCGUUUUUUCGUUAGCAAUGGUUAAUCGUUGCUUACAGAUUGAAUACAUUGAAUUACCGGUAAUAGUCGUGACUGUACAUGUCCCCAUUAUCUCACAAUGUCACCUACAACAGUCAACAACUACCCAUAGUGCGACGUAUACUUAUCCGUUUUUAUUUAUUUUUUUUUUUUUUUUUUUUUUUUUACAUGGUCGAAACGCGCAAUACAAUUUCUGUUAUUGUAUACUCGUAAUGCUAUUAUGACGUUCCGAUGACUAUUUAUGGUCUCGAAGAGAAAACAAACAAUACGUAUUAUACGCGACAGUUUUAAACUCAGUGUAUACCGUCCGCAUAUACGGUAAGUACUUUUAAAACGUGCAGUUAACGACGUCCUCCUUUCCUCCCUCCCCUGUUUGACUGUGAACAAUUUAAAAUACCAUAAUUAUUUAUUUUUUAACAAUCAGGACGAAAAAAAAAAAAAAAAUUAAUAAACAUCUAUUUACAAAACUUGUACAAUUUUCGGGUAAAACUAUUUAAAUACAAAUUUAUUCAGUAUUUUCAGUAUUCAAACUCGUAUUUUAAACACACUUAUCACUUUUACAAUUGUUUUCCUUAAUUGAAAUUCAAGCGCAUUGCAUUACUUCAUUUAAG
Molecule: non-coding RNA, 666 nt
Organism: Cinara cedri
Lineage: Eukaryota; Metazoa; Arthropoda; Insecta; Hemiptera; Aphididae
Source: the annotation of a GenBank genome assembly